Betta splendens (Siamese fighting fish) is the source of this 2847-nucleotide long non-coding RNA. Ensembl lists it as uncharacterized. The record is from Ensembl. Lineage: Eukaryota; Metazoa; Chordata; Actinopteri; Anabantiformes; Osphronemidae.
AUGGCGCACGCUAACGAUGCUAACGGGCAGAGGCCCUGCGCGCGCCCGUGGCGGCGGCGGUGGUGGUGGAGGAGCGCUCGGCGCCUUUCGCGCCGGCUCUUUCGCUGCCGGUGUUUGUGCCGCGAGGCGAAGGAGCCUCUGCGGGGGCAGGAAAAGCGGAUUAACGGGGGCCCGCGGCAGCUCGGCGCGGAUAGAUGGGGAUCAGGUGAGAAGGAGGCCGUCCAGAUUACUGUGGAGGAUCUGGGGAUAGUUAACUGCAGCUUCGUCCUGUCUGAAGAGGACCCCCUGACCCGGAGGACCAGCGCGGCCCGCUCAGCCGGCUCGGGGUCCGCCUGCCACACAGCUGAGAAAAAGAAACACAGACCUCUGGGUUCACUCCCUUUACAGCUCCAGGCUGAACCUGCCACGACUUCUACCAGUGGAGAAGAUGGUGAAGAUGAGGAGGAGGAGGCUGAAAGUCUGCUGACACCACCUGUCAUUAAUCUCAUCCCUCCCACCCCCUCCGACGUCGUUAACGACCGCUUUUUUAAUAACUCAGAGGAGAGUGUGGCGCGUAGAUCUGGCAGCGAUGGAAGCCCUGCUCCCACUGAGCGGAAGAGCGAUGGGGAAAAGACGGAGAGUGAGGAGGCAGAGGACUCAACGGAGGGACGCAGAGAGGCCGGGAACGAUGCUGGAGCGGACGGUGGUGCUGAGGCGGGAGGGGGCCCGGGGCACGAGGGUGAGGAGGACAGAGGGGAUGUGCCACGUAGCUCCUACCAGGUGGCUCCUCUGCCCGAAUACCCGCAGAGAAAGAGCUUCAACACUGGAAUAAACCUUUUAUCAUUCACUGAGCUCAACUUGGACGACCUGAGCGGCGGCGACCGGCCGUGCGCCGACAUGGUGGCGACUGACGUGCGCGGCCUCCAUCCCGCUGCCAGCGCGCGGGCCUCUGCUCACCGAAGGACACCCGUAACUCACUCCAGCCUCCUUGGGGAAACAUUGACCAGGAGCGCCACAUUCCACGGAUUAACCCAGGCCACGGCGCAGCGCCAGGAGGAGGGGUCGCCGCGGCAACGACGCAUAACCGUGGCGUCGUACAUGCCUCAGCCCCGGGACCAGAAUGGAAACUUCCCUGAGAAGGACGCAGACGAGCGCGCGACCAAACCUCUCAGGGAGCUGAGCACCGACGGACUCUGCCGGUGGUUUACCAGCAUUGGACUGGAGAGAUGCCUCCCUUUCAUCAGGGAAGCCAAACUGUGCGGCGCAGACAUAGCAUCAGUCGACGCCAACACUCUGGACAUCCUCCACGUCACCACGCUGGAAGACAGAGAGCAGUUACUGUCGGCCAUUUAUGCCGAGCUGCACCCUCCCAGCACCACCAGCCAGAGACUGGACUCUCUGCUGGAAACAUUAGGCCCCAAUCAUGUGGAGACUUUCGCCGCCACGCUGGUGUCCAUGAGCAAGUCCAGGUCAUCGCCUCACGUGAGCUGCCUGAGUCUGAACCGACGUUCCCUCAAAGUCAGGAACAACAGCCAGAGCUGCAACACACAGCUGAUAGAGGUCACUGUCACGGCGUCAGAGAGAAUAGUUCAUCUCCGGACCCCAAAGGAAACGACCGUGGGAAAGAUCAUGGACUCGUGUAUCAAAAUGCUGGGAGCGACAGAGGACAAGUGUCUGUUCACGCUGAGAGAAAAGCACAGCUCAUUGGAGGAACUGAUGCCGGACCAGCAGGUUGGGGGUCUACUGACGUCGGCAUCAGACAACGCACAAGUGGAGCUGCUCCUGUGUAAACUGGAGAAACCAGCGAGUCCUGACUCUUCAAAGAGUCCAGACGUCGACAGCGCCAAUGAAAAUGGCAGCAGCGACACAACCCUUCAGUCAGAUAAAGAAAAGAGGAUCAGAGAGUUGAAACAACAGGUGGACUCGCUCCAAAACGUCAUCCUUCAGGUCCAGGAGCUCCACCUCAGCCUGGUAGCGUUUUGCUCAGAGCUGAAAAGCAUGGACGGAGACGUGAACGCGGACGAGCUCGGCGCUGACGAGCUGCAGCGGAGGCUGGAGUUGGUCCAAAGCCGAGUGAGCGACAAGAAGCAGAGCCUGCGAACCCUCCGAGACCACAUCAGCAGAUCGGCUGCUCACAAGACCAACCAGCUGGAAGUUCAUCUCCUGGAAAAGAUGAAGUUGAACUGCCAGGUGUUCAAGGAGGAAAUCUCCCUGGUGCAUCUCAACCGACAGGUGGCUCAGCUCCAGAGCGCUCUGGACGAAAGCACAGCGAAGGAGAAGAGCCCGGCCGUCUGCAGCCUCGGCCAGCUGGUGUCGCCCCGGCGUCCGGCCAUGCUGCUGGUGGUGCAGGAGAAGCGGCGGCCCGGCGGCCAUUAUGGCUUCACGUGCCGCUACAGAGAAGGCGGGGGGCUGGUGGUGGUGGAGGUGGACGACUCCCACCUCUGCGUUGACGACAGACUGGUGGAGGUGAAUGGGACACUGGUGGUCAACUGGACGCAGGAAGAGCUGACUCAGCAUCUGCUGCAGGGACCCAGUGCUCAAGUCGUGGUCCUGCGCCAGCCCCCGCCCACAGGCUUAUCCCAGCAGCAGCCUCCGCUCCCGCAGCACAUGGUCCACCCUGGUCCCGCGAAGACAGCCUGCCAAGAACAGGAUCAAGUCGCCAUGGCAACCCCUCCACGGCGGAGGUUGAUGGCCAUCUGACUAUACAGUACGAAGAGCACACAUACUGUAGAUUUGAUGAGGAUGGAGGAAAUAGUUAGUUCUUUUAACAUGUCUCCCCGCGUGAAGUGAAUGUUGUUUUUAUUUAUUUAUUUAUUUAAUGUUUUCUGUAACAAUAAACCUUUUUAGUAGAUUUUUAAUUUUCGUUUU